Mustela lutreola (European mink) is the source of this 1276-nucleotide long non-coding RNA. RefSeq lists it as uncharacterized. Lineage: Eukaryota; Metazoa; Chordata; Mammalia; Carnivora; Mustelidae. The record is from RefSeq and is a predicted model, not a curated record. The transcript is spliced from 3 exons.
UGGAGGUGUGGUGGACUUGGAAAAAUGGGUCCCCUCUGCCAGUCCUAAGGUUCUAAGCUGCCCUUUGGGAGAUAAAAACACCCCAAGCCCCAGACCCUGGGCAGAGGAAGGCAUUGGGGCUGUAGAACAGGACUGCCAUCUCCGGUUCCAGGAAGGAGAGCUUGCUUGGAAUAAAGACAUGCAAGAUGGAAGCCCAGAAGCCUGAGGAGCAGGAAGUGUUUAUUGAGCACCUACUAUGUGUUAGUGGCAGAGAAGAGAGAAGCUGUUGGACUGUGUUUGUGGAGUGGCCAUGCCUUCUGGGUGAGAGUAGGAUGGUCUGGAAGCAUGCACACAGUCAGGUCUCCUGAAGACAAAGUUUCCUGGUUCGUCCUGUGGAUGAACCCCCCCCCCCCCCAAUCCAUCCUCUCUAAACCACCCUCUUCCUCUGCAUUCCACCCUUAGGACUUUGCUUGGUGUCCCCAAGCCUGGUGGCUCCCCAGAAGUAUCUGUGGGACUCAAAGAAACUACAGAGUCUUGGAUCCCAACUUUGGCAAUUUGGCUGUGGGGAUGGGGCCCAGGGCCUGGGAUUCUGUAUUUCAGCAGUUCCCUCUGGGGCUCAGCAGGGGUGGGAGCCCAGGUGGUGGACACGUGUCCCCAGGGGGCCUCCCCUGGGGCUCCCGCUGCUGUCACAGCCACACACGUCCUUCUGCAAACACAUACAGCCCAUGAUUGAUUCUCUGCCGUUCCCCUCACAGCCCAGCGGGUCUGAUUGAAUGGCCGACGUGCUGCCCAAACACCCCGCUGGAACCACUUCCCUGCCCUCUGCCCCGGAAGUCGUUUGUUUGUUUUUAGACGCAGCCUUUAUGUCCAGCUGAAUGGCCAGCGGGCUCCUCAGAGCCGCCCAUCAGAGCUGAAGAUCGUCUGGGGCUGGAGCUGGAGCUGGAGCUGGCAGUGGUCCUGUGGUCACUCUGGGGACUCCGGGAAGGACAGCCGUGCUUCCUGGGAGAGGCGACUCUAGACUCACCCAGGCCUGUGCCCCAUGUGAAGACACACAAGGGCGGGAGGGGUGUGCAUUGCAGCACUUGAAGGGCCAUCUCUCCCUUUCCUUAACUGCUGUGAAACACUGGAGCCAAGCUCCUGCAUUCUAGCACCUUCGGUUCUGGUCUUUAGGAAUGAACCCAUGGGCAACCUCUGCUGUGAAAAGGACAGGCUCUGCAGUUCAAUAGACUUAGGCUUGAAUCCCAGGGCCAACCCUCCUGCCUGUGCCUCAGCUUCUUUAUCUACUUGGUGGGGAUGA